This 424-nucleotide ribosomal RNA is filed under the name uncultured prokaryote. RNAcentral describes it as "bacterial SSU rRNA". It matches the Rfam family "Bacterial small subunit ribosomal RNA", at positions 355 to 796 of the family's 1533-position model. The record is from RNAcentral.
CAAGGAAUUUUCCCCAAUGGGCGCAAGCCUGAGGGAGCAACGCCGCGUGCAGGAUGACGGCUUUCGGGUUGUAAACUGCUUUUGCGUGGGACGAUAACGACGGUACCACGCGAAUAAGCCCCGGCUAACUCCGUGCCAGCAGCCGCGGUAAUACGGAGGGGGCGAGCGUUGUUCGGAAUUACUGGGCGUAAAGGGCGCGUAGGCGGUCCGUUGCGUUAGGUGUGAAAGCCCUGGGCUCAACCUGGGAGGUGCACUUAAUACGGGCGGACUGGAAUCCGGCAGAGGAUGGUGGAAUUCCCAGUGUAGAGGUGAAAUUCGUAGAUAUUGGGAAGAACACCGAUGGCGAAGGCAGCCAUCUGGGCCGGCAUUGACGCUGAGGCGCGAAAGCGUGGGGAGCAAACAGGAUUAGAUACCCCCGUAGUCC